GCACACUGUUACUGCACAAUUUCACAGUUUUAAAUUAUAAAUACGAAUAAUCGGUGAAUAAAUGGUAAUUAGGUAUCUGUGUGUAUCCGUAUAUGUAUACUACGUUACGUAUACUGAAAUCUGAACGUGAACUUUUGAUCCUAGUUUAUGCGGCCCCGACGUCAUGGCUGAUUGCGUUUUCUCUCAUUUUUUAAUCGUUACCUGUGACACGAAUUUUCCGAUGGUAAAACAUUGCCUCGAAAUUAAAUUCAAAUUGAAAAAGUGUACUCUGUGUUUAUACAUUUUUUUGUUCGUUUUCAAUGCAAUAUUUGACAUUUUAUACCUUUUCGAACCGUAUAUCCUGCGUGCGUGUGUAUUCAAAUAAUCGGUUUAUCGUUGUACGAUGGUCUCGGAAAACCGGCAUUUUCCAACUCUUCCUACGUUCUAUUCAUUGGACUGAUUCGGAAGAUGCGCGUUACGCGAGAGCAGAUACUCGACUGAGUGAUAAACGAGCCUUGAUUGGCUUAAUAUAGUACGUUGCCGGAGUAAUUGGUCGCUCCCUUGCCGUGCGGGAAAUGAUUGGUCAAUUUAAUCCUAGGACGUAGUGCAUUAGGCAUUCAGUCGACGUACAAACUCCCUAUUAACUGUCAUAACUUUGUUCUUCUUCUUAGUCUUACGCUCCAUUUCGUUUUUCUUCUUUUUUCGCUCCUCCUUUUCACGUUAUUUGUAUUUAUUUACAAUUAUUAAUUCAAUCCUCACGCGAACCGUACGGAUAUCAUUCGCGUUUUCAUCCCUU
This 775-nucleotide unclassified non-coding RNA is filed under the name Athalia rosae (coleseed sawfly). Its description in RNAcentral is "misc RNA ENSAEAG00005011739.1". Lineage: Eukaryota; Metazoa; Arthropoda; Insecta; Hymenoptera; Athaliidae. The record is from RNAcentral.